GAACCUGCGGAGGGAUCAUUACCGAGUCUAACAACUCAUCAACCCUGUGACAUACCUAAACGUUGCUUCGGCGGGAACAGACGGCCCCGUAACACGGGCCGCCCCCGCCAGAGGACCCCCUAACUCUGUAUCUAUAAUGUUUUUUCUGAGUAAACAAGCAAAUAAAUUAAAACUUUCAACAACGGAUCUCUUGGCUCUGGCAUCGAUGAAGAACGCAGCGAAAUGCGAUAAGUAAUGUGAAUUGCAGAAUUCAGUGAAUCAUCGAAUCUUUGAACGCACAUUGCGCCCGCCAGUAUUCUGGCGGGCAUGCCUGUUCGAGCGUCAUUACAACCCUCAGGCCCCCGGGCCUGGCGUUGGGGAUCGGCGGAGCCCCCUGCGGGCAUACGCCGUCCCCCAAAUACAGUGGCGGUCCCGCCGCAGCUUCCAUUGCGUAGUAGCUAACACCUCGCAACUGGAGAGCGGCGCGGCCACGCCGUAAAACACCCAACUUCUGAAUGUUGACCUCGAAUCAGGUAGGAAUACCCGCUGAACUUAAGCAUAUCAAUAA
The sequence is a ribosomal RNA, 547 nucleotides long. The stretch from base 171 to 324 matches the Rfam family "5.8S ribosomal RNA".